UGUAUAUGGUGAUAUUGUAUUGUUUCUUAGUUGGCUACUAAUUAUAAUUCUUCGGAUCAAUAUGCUUGUCUUCUGGCUCUAGUGAUAAUGAUGGUGGCUCUUAGAAUAUGAGGUUGUGGGUUAGGAUUCUGUGAAAAUCUAAAAAAUUGGUUUACUUAUACUCAUUUUUGGCAUUCAGCUAUCAUCUUACGCGUCCUAUUUGUAUAGGUUCACUGCUACUCAAUUGAACCAAGAUUUAUUACCACUUCUACUGCUUCACUCGAGAAAAUGAAACUAAUACUGGAAGAUCAAUAAAUAAUUAAUGAGUGAAUGCAACCAACCAAUUUUCCAGGAAAUCUGAAUAGCUUGAUUACUAGAAUUCAUAGUUUUGUUGUAUAGAACAAAAUUUGUAUAAAUUAGUACAGAAGGGUGAAAUUGUAAAAGGGUCUCCAUGGUCUUUCUUUAGGUUGAUUGACUCUUUUUCCUCAGUAUAAUUGUCUCUGGGAAUGAGUUCCCACUUUGCAGCAAUGGUUUCCAUUCUACUGAAAGAGAGCAUAUUGAACUAUUUCAAAGGCAAACAAAUAAGGAUUGUUUAAUUAUGUAGGCUUUUCAAUAUAGGUCAUGGUUUUCUUGACAGAAUAUGCGCUAAGAGUCAAUGCUUUCAUGCUCUUAUUAUCUUUUAUUGUGUGCUGGGACUGUUGUAUCUACAACAAAUAUGUGAACAAGAGACUCUUAUUUACUUUGUUGAUAAAAAUGUUAUAUGAGCUUUGAUUGGAUUUACUAAUAAGCCUCCUUGUUUGUGUUCCCUCAACUUUCUACUUUACACCGUGUUAUCUAUUUUACUAUUUACACUUGAAAAAUUAUAUAAAUAAAAAUCAUUGUUUCAUGUAUUUACCUAACCGAUGAAAGACAAUAGCAAGACCACCCGUGUAGGUUUUGAUAUCUUGUGGAAAGCCAUUGUUGCCGAAGUCGUGUGCCUAUUUCUUCAAUCUACUGAUGUCCAAUCAAUUUUCCUUUAAAUGUUUUAAGGAGCGGGGGGUGGGUGAUCUGCAUACUUCAUUGUAUAUUUUUCCUUAAGUUGUGUGGUACUAUUACUGGGUUCAGAUGUUGGCAUGGACUUGUUCUGAUGAUCAAACAUCAUGACUUGGAAGAAUGAUUCCUUCUUGAAAGGUGAAACUUUCCCAGAACAAGAAUAUUGGCAUUUGUGAUUUUUUUGCUGACAUUUGUUUUAACUUUUAAUCCCUGGACAAAAUGCUAAAAACCCUAUGUGGCUUAAAGAGUUGAAAACCCAUAUGUAAUUAGCCAAAAUUUGGUCUGUUGGUGUUUUCGGUACCCGCAGUCUGACCAAUUCAAGUCUUUUACUGUGAGGACAAGGGAUGGGCUGCAAUAAUUACAAGUUCCAACUAAAAACUUCACUCUGAUUGUAACUAAGCCCCUCGUUGGUGUAGAUUGGAAUCAGAUUUUUAGUAGAUUUUGAUACGAGUUGAUGAAAUGUGUGGUUGAAAAGUUGUGGAUCCCAUAAAAUAUGUGGUUAAAAUUAAUUGUUGACUUUGACUCGAGAUUUUAAUCUAAAGGGGCUAAAAUUAAUUUCAUUUUUAAAUUAAACAACCACAUGGAUCGGGAUUGGGAGUUUUUAUGUCAAGCUGGACUUCAAAAAUUCUUUUUGUGGAAUUCUAAUCGGUUGGUGACUGUGGACCUGGAUCUGGAGUUUUGAUGUCAAGCUGGACUUCAGAAAUUCUUUGUGGAAUUCUGAUCGGUUGGUAACUGUUUGGAUUACACCAACCCAUACGUUAUAGAAAAAUAGAGGAUAGCCUAUAACUCUAAUUGUGGAAGGGCAAAUCUCUUCAGGUAUUAUCACUUUUUCUUUGUUCUCCUCCUUACAAGAUAAACAUAUUUUUUUUUCUUGUUAAACUAAUUUCAGUCAUUAAAUGGAUUUUUAGAUGAUUUCUCUGUAGCAAAGAUGCAGCUAUGAUCUCUUGCUGUCAUCUUUUUUGCCAAAUAUCUUUAUUUUUUUCUGAAAAAAAGUAUUUCUUUUCUUUUGUUGCUCUUGAUAUUUUUGGCUAAUAAUUUAUCGCCUGCUUGAUGGUUACACACUUGCACCUAUGCGAAGCUGAAACCCAAUUUUUUUUUAUUUUAUAAAUAAGAAAAAAAAAAUUCUGCUUUUGCUGGUUUUAGAUAUGAUUUUGAUCUAAUAUGGCGGCUUUGCUGUUUCUAAUUGCAUCUUUCAAUUAUUAGAUGGAGACUAAGAUGUGAUGAUUAGGGGGGGUUGUAAUUCUUAAUUGAAAAAUAAUACCCCAUGCUUGUUAAUUUGUACACUGAUGAACGUUAUUUUCUUCUUUCUGCUAUU
This 2326-nucleotide long non-coding RNA is filed under the name Olea europaea subsp. europaea. The record is from RNAcentral. Lineage: Eukaryota; Viridiplantae; Streptophyta; Magnoliopsida; Lamiales; Oleaceae.